GUCUAAGGCCAUGCUACUCUGAACAAGCCCAAUCUCCUCUGAUCUCAGAAGCUAAACAGGGUUGGGCCUGGUUGGGAAACCACCUAGGAAGACCAGGUGCUGUAGGUG
Molecule: ribosomal RNA, 108 nt
Filed under: Pteropus alecto (black flying fox)
Lineage: Eukaryota; Metazoa; Chordata; Mammalia; Chiroptera; Pteropodidae
Source: RNAcentral